GAUGAACGCUAGCUGGAGGCUUAAUACAUGCAAGUCGAGCGGGAUUGGGUAGCAAUACCCAUGAGAGCGGCGCACGGGUGAGUAACGCGUACACGACCUACCUCUAACAGGGGGAUAGCCCUGGGAAACUGGGAUUAAUACCGCAUAUAAUUCUGAAUAAUAAAGGUUUGGAAUGAAAGCUGAGGCGGUUAGAGGUGGGUGUGCGUCUGGUUAGCUAGUUGGUAGGGUAACGGCCUACCAAGGCGAUGAUCAGUAGGGGGCGUGAGAGCGUGGUCCCCCACACGGGUACUGAGACACGGACCCGACUCCUACGGGAGGCAGCAGUAAGGAAUAUUGGUCAAUGGGCGAAAGCCUGAACCAGCCAUCCAGCGUGCAGGAAGAAGGCCCUAUGGGUUGUAAACUGCUUUUAUCAGGGAAGAAACCUCUGGAUUUACUCCGGAGCUGACGGUACCUGAAGAAUAAGCACCGGCUAACUCCGUGCCAGCAGCCGCAGUAA
Molecule: ribosomal RNA, 496 nt
Filed under: uncultured bacterium
Lineage: Bacteria
Description: partial 16S ribosomal RNA
Rfam family: Bacterial small subunit ribosomal RNA
Source: RNAcentral